UGAACGCUGGCGGCGUGCCUAACACAUGCAAGUCGAGCGGAGAUGUUGAGAGAUCCUCGGGUGAUUCUUCAUCUAGCGGCGGAUGGGUGAGUAACACGUGGGUAACCUGCCCUGCACAGGGGGAUAACAGCUGGAAACGGCUGUUAAUACCGCAUAUGCACACGCUGCCGCAUGGCAGAGGGUGGAAAGAUUUAUCGGUGCAGGAUGGGCCCGCGUCGGAUUAACUAGUUGGCAGGGUAACGGCCUACCAAGGUGAUGAUCCGUAGCCGACCUGAGAGGGUGACCGGCCACAUUGGGACUGAGACACGGCCCAAACUCCUACGGGAGGCAGCAGUGGGGGAUAUUGCACAAUGGGCGAAAAAGCCUGAUGCAGCGACGCCGCGUGAAGGAAGAAGUAUUUCGGUAUGUAAACUUCUAUCAGCGGGGAAGAAGAUGACGGUACCCGACUAAGAAGCCCCGGCUAACUACGUGCCAGCCGCCGC
This 482-nucleotide ribosomal RNA is filed under the name uncultured bacterium. RNAcentral's name for it is "bacterial SSU rRNA". It matches the Rfam family "Bacterial small subunit ribosomal RNA", at positions 30 to 518 of the family's 1533-position model. The record is from RNAcentral.